This 312-nucleotide ribosomal RNA is filed under the name uncultured Enterobacteriaceae bacterium. RNAcentral describes it as "bacterial SSU rRNA". It matches the Rfam family "Bacterial small subunit ribosomal RNA", at positions 355 to 659 of the family's 1533-position model. Lineage: Bacteria; Pseudomonadati; Pseudomonadota; Gammaproteobacteria; Enterobacterales; Enterobacteriaceae. The record is from RNAcentral.
UGGGGAAUAUUGCACAAUGGGCGCAAGCCUGAUGCAGCCAUGCCGCGUGUAUGAAGAAGGCCUUCGGGUUGUAAAGUACUUUCAGCGAGGAGGAAGGCAUUAAGGUUAAUAACCUUGGUGAUUGACGUUACUCGCAGAAGAAGCACCGGCUAACUCCGUGCCAGCAGCCGCGGUAAUACGGAGGGUGCAAGCGUUAAUCGGAAUUACUGGGCGUAAAAGCGCACGCAGGCGGUCUGUCAAGUCGGAUGUGAAAUCCCGGGCUCAACCUGGAAGCUGCAUUCGAAACUGGCAGGCUAGAGUCUUGUAGAGGGA